Molecule: ribosomal RNA, 586 nt
Filed under: uncultured bacterium
Lineage: Bacteria
Description: bacterial SSU rRNA
Rfam family: Bacterial small subunit ribosomal RNA
Source: RNAcentral
CCUACGGGAGGCAGCAGUGGGGAAUCUUGCGCAAUGGGCGAAAGCCUGACGCAGCGACGCCGCGUGGGGGAAGAAGGCCUUAGGGUUGUAAACCUCUUUCAGGUGGGACGAAGCCACUCGGGUUAAUAGCCCAGAGGGUGACGGUACCGCCAGAAGAAGCCCCGGCUAACUACGUGCCAGCAGCCGCGGUAAUACGUAGGGGGCAAGCGUUGUCCGGAUUUAUUGGGCGUAAAGAGCGUGUAGGCGGUUAGGUAGGUGGGUUGUGAAAACUGGAGGCUCAACCUUCAGACGUCGACCCAAACCCCCUGGCUAGAGUCCGGAAGAGGAGAGUGGAAUUCCUGGUGUAGCGGUGAAAUGCGCAGAUAUCAGGAAGAACACCCGUGGCGAAGGCGGCUCUCUGGGACGGUACUGACGCUGAGACGCGAAAGCGUGGGGAGCGAACAGGAUUAGAUACCCUGGUAGUCCACGCCGUAAACGAUGGGUGCUAGGUGUGGGGGGUGUCAACUCCCUCCGUGCCGAAGCUAACGCAUUAAGCACCCCGCCUGGGGAGUACGGCCGCAAGGCUAAAACUCAAAGGAAUUGACGG